GUGCAAAUAAGGUUGGAAGGGCAGUUUGCCUUGGGUUAGGCAAGAAUCUGUUUGGAAUUGGAGGAGUCUUCUGGGCUUUUCCAGCUGAACGUCUAGUUUUUUAAAGCAUGCAUCUGGCACUGUUUUAGAGCAAGCAAUAGAAACAUGAAUGCAAGGUCUGAAGAUGGAGCAAGAAUGCCGGGUGUUGCUAGUUUGGGUGCAAUUCUGGAGUAACUUGGACCAUCUCUUGGACUGAUUCCUCUGGAAAAUUAUUGUUCUCCUUAAGGAGGGGUUAAUUUUCAGCUGAGUUGAUGA
Molecule: long non-coding RNA, 294 nt
Organism: Nothoprocta perdicaria
Lineage: Eukaryota; Metazoa; Chordata; Aves; Tinamiformes; Tinamidae
Exons: 3
Source: RefSeq, a predicted model, not a curated record